RNAcentral lists this small RNA (231 nucleotides) under Pan troglodytes (chimpanzee). RNAcentral describes it as "retained intron". Lineage: Eukaryota; Metazoa; Chordata; Mammalia; Primates; Hominidae. The record is from RNAcentral.
GGUGUUCCGGGACACAGCGGAGCCCAAGUGGGAUGAGGAGUUUGAGAUCGAGCUGGAGGGCUCCCAGUCCCUGAGGAUCCUGUGCUAUGAGAAGUGCUAUGACAAGACCAAGGUCAACAAGGACAACAAUGAGAUCGUGGACAAGAUCAUGGGCAAAGGACAGAUCCAGGUGAGGCCAGGGCGAGGCUGAGGGAGCCUCCAGGAGGUGGUUCCAGUUGAAAAGGAAUUCUG